UACGUAGGGGGCAAGCGUUGUCCGGAAUUAUUGGGCGUAAAGAGCUCGUAGGCGGUUUGUCGCGUCUGCUGUGAAAUCUCGGAGCUUAACUCCGAAACUGCAUUCGAUACUGCCGUGCUUGAGGACUGGAGAGGAGACUGGAAUUUACGGUGUAGCGGUGAAAUGCGUAGAUAUCGUAAGGAAGACCAGUGGCGAAGGCGGGUCUCUGGACAGUUCCUGACGCUGAGGCACGAAGGUCAGGGGAGCAAACGGG
Molecule: ribosomal RNA, 253 nt
Filed under: uncultured bacterium
Lineage: Bacteria
Description: partial 16S ribosomal RNA
Rfam family: Bacterial small subunit ribosomal RNA
Source: RNAcentral